RNAcentral lists this long non-coding RNA (1027 nucleotides) under Piliocolobus tephrosceles (Ugandan red Colobus). RNAcentral describes it as "lncRNA (ENSPTEG00000014882.1)". Lineage: Eukaryota; Metazoa; Chordata; Mammalia; Primates; Cercopithecidae. The record is from RNAcentral.
AUUGAAUAAGCAAAUAAGAAAAAUUUUAAAAAUUAAUAUAAAAAACAACAUUUUAAUUUUUGACGAAUCACAAAACAUAAUAAACAAUAUAAAUGAUGCUAAUUCAACACAAAUAAGUAAACAUCAAAUUAUGUUUUGUAAAUUAAUUUUAACAGAAUAUAUUAAAAAAUAUGAACAUAUUUUAAAUAAUAAUAAUGUUGUUAUGAUUAAACAGAUAAUUAUUUUUUGUACAUUCUUAUUAAACUCCUUUGUCAUUUUAAAUCAAAAUCUAAUCAAUAUAAAUAAAUUUAUUUUGUUACUAAAGUUAGACGUGUUACACUUAAAUAAAAUAUUUGAUUUUUUAAAUAAUCAUUGUUUUUGUAAACGAGUUAAGAUAUUUUCAGAAAUAUGCUUAUGGAAUUAUAUGAAAAAGAAAGAGCAAGAUAAAGAGAAAGUGUCAAAACAACACCCAGUGAUAAAUGUCAUCGAAAAACAUUACAAACGAUCAAAAUUUACUGCCGAUAUUGCAUCUUCUACUACUACGAAAAGUUUUACAUAUACGAAAUAUACUUCAGCUAUUUAUUUACUAUGUGAGUUUACCAACAAGUUAAUACAAUCAAAUAAAUAUGACUAUGUACAUAUAAAAAAUCCACUUAAUGAAGAUAAGGAACAUAUAGUUGAAAAUGAAAACAUAAACAAAAACAAAGAUACAGAUACAGAUACAGAUACAAAUACAAAUACAGAUACAGAUACAAAUACAGAUACAAAUACAGAUAUUAAUACAAAAAAAGGAAACAAUAAAACUAAAGAAUAUCAUAAAUUCGCAAAAAAAAAAAGAGCAAAUGAUAAUCAGAGAACAGAACUAGACAGUCAUGAAAAAAAAAAAAAAUUAUGUACCUUGAAUGAUUCGAAAAAUUAUUUCAAUAAAUCAUUCUCAGAAAAAGAUAAAGUAGUAAAGUGUAAUACUAUUAACACUAGUACAAAAACAAAUAGUAGCAAUAAAAAAAGUUUUGAGCAGAUUGGACAAGAGUUAGAUGCUUUUUUCGAG